UCAAACUUGUACUGCUAGCCAUUACACCCGACACCAUGAAGAAAAAAAAUAUUGACAAAAAACCAAUGUCAUCCACCUACUUCCAUUUCCACAUAUACAAUGGGUAAAGACAGCUACAACUCAACUCGUACUAUUAAGAUGCAGAAAACAAUGCAUGCCAAAGGCCAUCAGCUGCAAUCUGCAUCCACCCUCACCACCCUG
Molecule: long non-coding RNA, 201 nt
Filed under: Gossypium raimondii (Peruvian cotton)
Lineage: Eukaryota; Viridiplantae; Streptophyta; Magnoliopsida; Malvales; Malvaceae
Description: long non-coding RNA (GRAI_LNC006143)
Source: RNAcentral